GACCAAGGGUUCCAGUCCAACGUUAAUCGGGGCUGGGUGAGUCGACCCCUAAGGCGAGGCCGAAAGGCGUAGUCGAUGGGAAAAUGGUUAAUAUUCCAUUACUUCUGUGUAAUGCGAUGAGAGGACGGAGAAGGCUAAAUCAGCCUGGCGUUGGUUGUCCAGGUGAAAGGAUGUAGGCAUGUAUCUUAGGCAAAUCCGGGGUACUCUAUGCUGAGAUCUGAUAGCAAGCUGUACUUGUACAGCGAAGUGGUUGAUGCCAUGCUUCCAGGAAAAGUCUCUAAGCUUCAGUUACACAGGAAUCGUACCCGAAACCGACACAGGUGGUCAGGUCGAGUAGACCAAGGCGCUUGAGAGAACUCUGCUGAAGGAACUAGGCAAAAUGGUACCGUAACUUCGGGAGAAGGUACGCUGUUGUUGGUGAUGGAACUCGCUUCCUGAGCUGACGACAGCCGCAGAAACCAGGCCGCUGCAACUGUUUAUUAAAAACAUAGCACUCUGCAAACACGAAAGUGGACGUAUAGGGUGUGAUGCCUGCCCGGUGCUGGAAGGUUAAUUGAUGGGGUUAGCG
This 568-nucleotide ribosomal RNA is filed under the name Escherichia coli. Its description in RNAcentral is "partial 23S ribosomal RNA". It matches the Rfam family "Bacterial large subunit ribosomal RNA", at positions 1343 to 1895 of the family's 2925-position model. The record is from RNAcentral. Lineage: Bacteria; Pseudomonadati; Pseudomonadota; Gammaproteobacteria; Enterobacterales; Enterobacteriaceae.